Molecule: ribosomal RNA, 861 nt
Filed under: uncultured archaeon
Lineage: Archaea
Description: bacterial SSU rRNA
Rfam family: Archaeal small subunit ribosomal RNA
Source: RNAcentral
ACUGCUAUCGGAUUGAUACUAAGCCAUGCGAGUCUUUGUAGCAAUACAAGGCAGACGGCUCAGUAACACGUAGUCAAUCUACCCUAUGGACGGGGAUAACCUCGGGAAACUGAGAAUAAUACCCGAUAGAUCAUUAUGCCUGGAAUGGUUUAUGGUCGAAAUGAUUUAUCGCCGUAGGAUGGGACUGCGGUCUAUCAGCUUGUUGGUGAGGUAAUGGCCCACCAAGGCUAUAACAGAUACGGGCUCUGAGAGGAGAAGCCCGGAGAUGGGUACUGAGACACGGACCCAGGCCCUAUGGGGCGCAGCAGGCGAGAAAACUUUGCAAUGUGCGAAAGCACGACAAGGUUAAUCCGAGUGUUUUCUGCUAAAGAAAUCUUUUGUCAGUCCUAAAAACACUGAUGAAUAAGGGGUGGGCAAGUUCUGGUGUCAGCCGCCGCGGUAAAACCAGCACCUCAAGUGGUCAGGGGGAUUAUUGGGCCUAAAGCAUCCGUAGCCGGCCGUGUAAGUUUUCGGUUAAAUCUAUACGCUCAACGUAUAGGCUGCCGGGAAUACUGCACAGCUAGGGAGUGGGAGAGGUAGACGGUACUCGGUAGGAAGGGGUAAAAUCCUUUGAUCUAUUGAUGACCACCUGUGGCGAAGGCGGUCUACUAGAACACGUCCGACGGUGAGGGAUGAAAGCUGGGGGAGCAAACCGGAUUAGAUACCCGGGUAGUCCCAGCUGUAAACAAUGCAAACUCAGUGAUGCACUGGCUUGUGGCCAGUGCAGUGCCGCAGGGAAGCCGUUAAGUUUGCCGCCUGGGAAGUACGUACGCAAGUAUGAAACUUAAAGGAAUUGGCGGGGGAGCACCACAAGGGGUGGAG